Molecule: ribosomal RNA, 527 nt
Filed under: uncultured bacterium
Lineage: Bacteria
Description: bacterial SSU rRNA
Rfam family: Bacterial small subunit ribosomal RNA
Source: RNAcentral
UCCUGGCUAGGACGAACGCUGGCGGCGUGCCUAAUACAUGCAAGUCGAACGGUCUUUCUAUGGAAGCUUGCUUCCACUGAGAAGAUAGUGGCGAACGGGUGAGUAACACGUGGGUAACCUGCCCAUAAGAGGGGGAUAACAUCCGGAAACGGGUGCUAAUACCGCAUAGUUUUCUUGAUCGCAUGAUCGGGAAAGGAAAGACGGCCUUUGUGCUGUCGCUUAUGGAUGGACCCGCGGCGUAUUAGUUAGUUGGUGAGGUAAUGGCUCACCAAGACGAUGGUACGUAGCCGACCUGAGAGGGUGAUCGGCCACAUUGGGACUGAGACACGGCCCAAACUCCUACGGGAGGCAGCAGUAGGGAAUCUUCCGCAAUGGACGAAAGUCUGACGGAGCAACGCCGCGUGAGUGAAGAAAGGUUUUCGGAUCGUAAAACUCUGUUGUCAGAGAAGAACAAGUUGGAGAGUAACUGCUCCAGCCUUGACGGUAUCUGACCAGAAAGCCACGGCUAACUACGUGCCAGCCGCAGC